Molecule: ribosomal RNA, 253 nt
Filed under: uncultured bacterium
Lineage: Bacteria
Description: partial 16S ribosomal RNA
Rfam family: Bacterial small subunit ribosomal RNA
Source: RNAcentral
UACGAAGGGGGCUAGCGUUGCUCGGAAUCACUGGGCGUAAAGCGCACGUAGGCGGAUCGCUAAGUCAGGGGUGAAAUCCUGGAGCUCAACUCCAGAACUGCCUUUGAUACUGGCAAUCUCGAGUCCGGGAGAGGUGAGUGGAACUGCGAGUGUAGAGGUGAAAUUCGUAGAUAUUCGCAAGAACACCAGUGGCGAAGGCGGCUCACUGGCCCGGUACUGACGCUGAGGUGCGAAAGCUAGGGUAGCAAACGGG